CUCUCGAUUUCGUGAAGAGGUUCCGUCGAAAGACGGAUGAAAAGGGAAUGUCGGUGAGCCGAGGCCGUCUCCGGACGGGCGCGGCGAAGCCGCAGCUGCCCCCGCAACUGUAAGCGGCGAGCCAUCUCCCUCAAGCCACUGACGGCCAUGGCGCCGUCGGGAAGGCGGGAGACAAGGCCUUGACCCGUGAGCCAGGAGACCUGCCCCUUCCGUCACUCCUGA
Molecule: non-coding RNA, 222 nt
Filed under: Prosthecodimorpha hirschii
Lineage: Bacteria; Pseudomonadati; Pseudomonadota; Alphaproteobacteria; Hyphomicrobiales; Ancalomicrobiaceae
Source: RNAcentral